RNAcentral lists this ribosomal RNA (600 nucleotides) under uncultured archaeon. Its description in RNAcentral is "bacterial SSU rRNA". It matches the Rfam family "Archaeal small subunit ribosomal RNA", at positions 82 to 685 of the family's 1478-position model. The record is from RNAcentral.
CGGACGGCUCAUUAACACGUGGUUAACAUACCCUCAGGUGGGGGAUAACCUUGGGAAACUGAGGAUAAUACCCCAUAGAAAAAGCAGUCUGGAACGAUUCUUUUUCGAAAGCAUAUGCGCCUGAGGAUUGGACUGCGCUCGAUUAGGUAGUUGGUGGGGUAAUGGCCCACCAAGCCUACGAUCGGUACGGGCCUUGAGAGAGGAAGCCCGGAGAUGGGGACUGAGACACGGCCCCAGGCCCUACGGGGCGCAGCAGGCGCGAAACCUCCGCAAUGCACGAAAGUGCGACGGGGGGAUCCCGAGUGCUCAUGCACAGCAUGGGCUUUUAUCAAGUGUAAACAGCUUGAGGAAUAAGGGCUGGGCAAGUUCGGUGCCAGCAGCCGCGGUAACACCGACGGCCCGAGUGGUGGCCACUUUUAUUGGGCCUAAAGCGUCCGUAGCCGGUCCAGUAAGUCCUUGUUUAAAUCCUGCGGCUUAACCGCAGGACUGGCAGGGAUACUGCUGGACUUGGGACCGGGAGAGGACAAGGGUACUUCAGGGGUAGCGGUGAAAUGUGUUGAUCCUUGAAGGACCACCUAUGGCGAAGGCACUUGUCUGGAA